Molecule: ribosomal RNA, 357 nt
Filed under: uncultured eukaryote
Lineage: Eukaryota
Description: partial 18S ribosomal RNA
Rfam family: Eukaryotic small subunit ribosomal RNA
Source: RNAcentral
CAAUAGCGUAUAUCAAUGCUGUUGCGGUUAAAAAGCUCGUAGUUGGAUUUGUGUGUGUGGGAGUGUUACAGGGCAAGACUCUGUGGGCUUUUGUGCACUUUUUCGUCCUUUUUUUCUCAAAGAGGAUGACAUCACUUUGAACAAAUUAGAGUGUUCAUAGCAGGCGUACGUGCCUUUGCAUAUCAUAGCAUGGAAUGACGUAUAAGACACUGGACCCGUUUUGUUGUCUCGACGGGAGCAGAGUAAUGAUGGAUAGGGACGGACGGGGGCAUGAGUAUUACUGCUUAAGAGGUGAAAUUCUUAGAUCGCAGUACGACUAGCUGAUGCGAAAGCCAUUGCCAAGAACGUUUNCAUUGA